RNAcentral lists this ribosomal RNA (517 nucleotides) under uncultured bacterium. Its description in RNAcentral is "bacterial SSU rRNA". It matches the Rfam family "Bacterial small subunit ribosomal RNA", at positions 995 to 1509 of the family's 1533-position model. The record is from RNAcentral.
GGGCCGGAGAGAUCCGGUCCUUCAGUUCGGCUGGCGGGAACACAGGUGCUGCAUGGCUGUCGUCAGGCUCGUGUCGUGAGAUGUUGGGUUAAGUCCCGCAACGAGCGCAACCCUCGCCUCCAGUUGCCAUCAGGUAAGGCUGGGCACUCUGGAGGGAACUGCCGGUGAUAAGCCGGAGGAAGCGGGGAUGACGUCAAGUCCUCAUGGCCCUUAUGGGCUGGGCUACACACGUGCUACAAUGGCGGUGACAGAGGGACGCAAGAGCGCGAGCUCACGCCAAUCUCAAAAAGCCGUCUCAGUUCGGAUUGCACUCUGCAACUCGAGUGCAUGAAGUCGGAAUCGCUAGUAAUCGCGGAUCAGCACGCCGCGGUGAAUACGUUCCCGGGCCUUGUACACACCGCCCGUCACACCAUGGGAGUUGGUUUUACCCGAAGACGGUGCGCCAACCGCAAGGAGGCAGCCGGCCACGGUAAGGUCAGCGACUGGGGUGAAGUCGUAACAAGGUAGGCGUAGAUGA